This 466-nucleotide ribosomal RNA is filed under the name uncultured bacterium. RNAcentral describes it as "partial 16S ribosomal RNA". It matches the Rfam family "Bacterial small subunit ribosomal RNA", at positions 28 to 506 of the family's 1533-position model. The record is from RNAcentral.
GAUGAACGCUGGCGGCGUGCUUAACACAUGCAAGUCGAACGGAAAGGCCCAAGCUUGCUUGGGUACUCGAGUGGCGAACGGGUGAGUAACACGUGGGUGAUCUGCCCUGCACUUCGGGAUAAGCCUGGGAAACUGGGUCUAAUACCGGAUAGGACCACUUCUUGGAUGUUGUGGUGGAAAGUUUUUUCGGUGUGGGAUGAGCUCGCGGCCUAUCAGCUUGUUGGUGGGGUAAUGGCCUACCAAGGCGUCGACGGGUAGCCGGCCUGAGAGGGUGUACGGCCACAUUGGGACUGAGAUACGGCCCAGACUCCUACGGGAGGCAGCAGUGGGGAAUAUUGCACAAUGGGCGCAAGCCUGAUGCAGAGACGCCGCGUGGGGGAUGACGGCCUUCGGGUUGUAAACUCCUUUCGCUAGGGACGAAGCGUUUUGUGACGGUACCUGGAGAAGAAGCACCGGCUAACUACGU